Molecule: ribosomal RNA, 375 nt
Filed under: uncultured bacterium
Lineage: Bacteria
Description: bacterial SSU rRNA
Rfam family: Bacterial small subunit ribosomal RNA
Source: RNAcentral
AUACGUAGGUGGCAAGCGUUGUCCGGAUUUACUGGGCGUAAAGAGUAUGUAGGCGGAUAAUCAAGUCAGAUGUGAAAGUCCAUGGCUUAACUGUGGGAGUGCAUUUGAGACUGAAGAUCUAGAGUGCAGGAGAGGGAAGCGGAAUUCCUAGUGUAGCGGUGAAAUGCGUAGAUAUUAGGAAGAACACCAGUGGCGAAGGCGGCUUUCUGGACUGUAACUGACGCUGAAGCACGAAAGCGUGGGGAGCAAACAGGAUUAGAUACCCUGGUAGUCCACGCCGUAAACGAUGAGUAUUAGGUGUAGGGGACGAUAGUCUUCUGUGCCGGAGCAAACGCAAUAAAUACUCCGCCUGGGGAGUACGGUCACAAGACUAAA